GACGAACGCUGGCGGCGUGCCUAAUACAUGCAAGUCGAACGCACUCUCGUUUAGAUUGAAGGAGCUUGCUCCUGAUUGAUAAACAUUUGAGUGAGUGGCGGACGGGUGAGUAACACGUGGGUAACCUGCCCUAAAGUGGGGGAUAACAUUUGGAAACAGAUGCUAAUACCGCAUAAAACCUAACACCGCAUGGUGUAGGGUUGAAAGAUGGUUUCGGCUAUCACUUUAGGAUGGACCCGCGGUGCAUUAGUUAGUUGGUGAGGUAAAGGCUCACCAAGACCGUGAUGCAUAGCCGACCUGAGAGGGUAAUCGGCCACACUGGGACUGAGACACGGGCCCAGACUCCUACGGGAGCAGCAGUAGGGAAUCUUCCACAAUGGACGAAAGUCUGAUGGAGCAACGCCGCGUGAGUGAAGAAGGUUUCGGAUCGUAAAACUCUAGUUGUUAGGAGAAGGAAUGUAUCU
This 464-nucleotide ribosomal RNA is filed under the name uncultured bacterium. Its description in RNAcentral is "bacterial SSU rRNA". It matches the Rfam family "Bacterial small subunit ribosomal RNA", at positions 28 to 459 of the family's 1533-position model. The record is from RNAcentral.